This 432-nucleotide ribosomal RNA is filed under the name uncultured eukaryote. Its description in RNAcentral is "bacterial SSU rRNA". It matches the Rfam family "Eukaryotic small subunit ribosomal RNA", at positions 592 to 1017 of the family's 1831-position model. The record is from RNAcentral.
CAAUAGCGUAUAUUAAAGUUGUUGCAGUUAAAAGCUCGUAGUUGGAUUUCUGGUUCGCUGCGCCUGGCCCGCCUGCGUUAGCAGUGUGAGUGCCGGUUGCGCGGUAGCCAUCCUUCUGGAGAACGCGCCUGCCUUUUACUAGGUUGGGUGCGCGACCCAGAUCCUUUACUUUGAAAAAUUUAGAAGUGUUUAAAGCAGGCAUUUGCUCUGAAUACAUUAGCAUGGAAUAAUGAUAUAGGACUUUGGUUCUAUUUUGUUUGGUUUCUUAGGACUGAAGUAAUGAUUGAUAGGGAUCGUUGGGGGUGCUAGUAUUGAGCGGCCAGAGGUGAAAUUCUUGGAUUCGCUCAAGACUAACUUAUGCGAAAGCAUUCACCAAGGAGAUCUUCUUUAAUCAAGAACGAAAGUUGGGGAUGCGAAGACGAUCAGAUACCA